AUUGAACGCUGGCGGCAUGCUUUACACAUGCAAGUCGAACGGUAACAGGCCGCAAGGUGCUGACGAGUGGCGAACGGGUGAGUAAUGCAUCGGAACGUGCCCAGUCGUGGGGGAUAACUACUCGAAAGAGUAGCUAAUACCGCAUACGAUCUAUGGAUGAAAGCGGGGGACCGUAAGGCCUCGCGCGAUUUGAGCGGCCGAUGUCAGAUUAGGUAGUUGGUGGGGUAAAGGCUCACCAAGCCCACGAUCUGUAGCUGGUCUGAGAGGACAACCAGCCACACUGGGACUGAGACACGGCCCAGACUCCUACGGGAGGCAGCAGUGGGGAAUUUUGGACAAUGGGCGCAAGCCUGAUCCAGCAAUGCCGCGUGCAGGAAGAAGGCCUUCGGGUUGUAAACUGCUUUUGUACGGAACGAAACGGCUCUGGUUAAUACCCGGGGCUAAUGACGGUACCGUAAGAAUAAGCACCGGCUAACUACGUG
This 482-nucleotide ribosomal RNA is filed under the name uncultured bacterium. RNAcentral describes it as "partial 16S ribosomal RNA". It matches the Rfam family "Bacterial small subunit ribosomal RNA", at positions 30 to 507 of the family's 1533-position model. The record is from RNAcentral.